This is a long non-coding RNA of Cebus imitator (Panamanian white-faced capuchin), 2245 nucleotides long. RefSeq lists it as uncharacterized. Lineage: Eukaryota; Metazoa; Chordata; Mammalia; Primates; Cebidae. The transcript is spliced from 2 exons. The record is from RefSeq and is a predicted model, not a curated record.
CGCCCCUCCCCCCACCAAGCUCAAUCUUCCCAGGUUGACCUCAGACUGCUGUGCUAGCAGCAGGAAUUUCAAGCCAGUGGAUCUUAGCUUGCUGGGUUCCGUGAGAGUGGGACCCACCAAGCCAGACCACUUAUCCCCUUGGCUUUAGUCCCCCUUCCAGGGAAGUGAAGGGUUCUACCUCGCUGGCAUUCCAGAUACCACUGGGGUAUGAAAAAAAAAACUCCUGCCACUAGCUCGGUGUCUGCCCAAAUUGCUGCCCAGUUUUGUGACUGAAACUCAGGGCCUUGGUGGCGUGGGCACCAGAGGGCAUCUCCUGGUCUGUUGGUUGCGAAGACUGGGAAAAGCACAGUAUCUGCGCUGGAAUGCAACGUUCUUCCUGGUACAGUCUCUCAUGGCUUCCCUUGGCUAGGGGAGAAAAAUCCCCUGACUCCAGAUUUUCUCCUGCAGCUUCCUCACCUCUCACAUUUAGAUGCCAUUGUGGGGUUAUUAAUUGGCCUAAUUUCAGUACUGUUGUGUGUCAGGAAAUAGGAAGGCCAGAAAAGUAGGGGAGAGAGAAGGGAAUGGCCGAUCAGUGGAGCAGUUGGAAGACACACAUUUGUCAAUCAUGUUUACCCCAGGUGGUGAAGGGGCCAAGUGGUGGGUUGUUUCUCCUGGAUCAGGGUGAAAGUCUAGGCUCCCAAUAUAGCCUCCAGUGACACCAUGGGAGUGGACCUCAUCACCAUCUUGCAGGGAUAGAAGUCCCACACUCCCUACUGGGCUAGCUUUGACAUGGCUCCAGCAGGAGAUGGGGAGGCCUCAUUACAACAGGCAAAGGAAAAGGUCUAGGCUCUCCACUUGGCCUUUGCUGAUGAGGCUGUGGGGUUUGGGCCAUGGGUUUUCCAUGGUGUUUGCAUAGAGUAGGGCAGUUACUGUCUGAGAGCUCUCCAUCUUUCUAGGUUGCCCUGUCCUGAUCCUUUGGCUAGAGAUACCAGGCUUUGCUUAGCUGUCGGCUCCUAUUGGUGUUUCUGGGGUACCAAUUUCUCCAGCGCUCAAUCUGAGCUAUAUGAGGCAAAGGAAAACCCAGGUAAGUCAAUGCUGUGUUAUUCCUUGGGUACUGAAGUUCCUAGCCAGUCAGUCUUCUCAUCUUUCAUAGUUGUCUCAUGUUUGUUUUAUGUAAAAGUCCAGGCUGCACUUAGUGGGAGGAAUAGGGAUAAGUGUGUCUACUCCUUGUCUCUUCGACUUUGUUUUGAAUAGUGAAUUUUCUAAAAAUGUCCUAGAAAGUCAAACUAUGGCUUGGUGCAGUGGCUCAUGCCUGUAAUCCCAGCACUUGGGGAGGCUAAGGUGGGUGGAUCGCUUGAGGCCAGGAGUUUGAGACCAGCCUAGGCAACAUGGUGAAACCCUGUCUGAAAAAAACAAAGCCCAAAAUAUUGCUACUCAUUAACAAUGCACCUGGUUACCCAAGAACUCGGAUGGAGAUGUACAAGGAGAUGAAUAUUUUCAUGCCUGCUAACAUAGUAUCUAUUCUGCAGCCCAUGGAUCAAGGUGUACUUUUGAUUUUCAAGACUUAUUAUUUGACAAAUACAUUUUAUAAUUCUCCUGAUGGUUCUGGGCAAAGUCAGUUGAAAACCUUUUGGAAAGGAUUCACCAUUUUAGAUGCCAUUAAGAGCAUUCGAUUCAUGGGAGGAGGUCAAAAUAUCAACAUUAAUAGGAGUUUGGAAGGAAUAAGAGGGUUUCAAGACUUCAGAGGAGGAAGGAACUGCAGAUAGGGUGAAAAUAGCAAGAGAAUUAGAAGUGGAGGAGCCUGGAGAUGUGACUGAAUUGCUGUAAUCCCAGGAUCAAACUUGUGUGGAUCAACAGUUGCUUCUCAUGGACGAACAAAGAAAAUGAUUUCUUGAGAUGGAAUCUACUCCUGGUGAAGAUGCUGUGAACAUUGUUGAAAUGACAACAAAAGAUUUAGAAUAUCCCAUAAACUUACCAUUGGCAGGGUUCGAGAGGAUCGACUCCUAAUUUUGAAAAGUUCUACUGUGGGUAAAUGCUGUCAAACAGCAUCAUAUGCUACAGAGGAAUCUUUCAUGAAAGAAGAGUUAAUCAAUGCAGCAAACUCCACUGUUGUCUUAUUUUAAGAAAUUGCCACAGUUACACCAGGCUUCAGCAACCACCACCCUGAUCAGUCAGCAGCCAUCAACAUUGAGGCAAGACUGUCCACCAGCAAAAAGAUUAUGACUCAAAGAAUGGUUGUUAGAAUUUCUUAGCAGUAAGGUAUUUA